AAGAAAUUUUGAAAAAAGGUUUUGUUUUCUUUGAAAUUAUCUUCUUUUUUUUUCCUUUUCAGGGAGAGGAGGGGAGAAGUUUUGUUUAAACAGCUUUUAUCAAUUAAUAUCCGUUGAACCUUUUUUUAUACUCGUAUUUUUUAUGUCUGAAAGAAAAAACAAAAAAUUUAAAAUUAU
This 177-nucleotide unclassified non-coding RNA is filed under the name uncultured fungus. RNAcentral's name for it is "sequence contains ITS1, 5.8S rRNA gene". Lineage: Eukaryota; Fungi. The record is from RNAcentral.